AGGGCACCACCAGGAGUGGAGCCUGCGGCUUAAUUUGACUCAACACGGGAAAACUCACCCGGCCCGGACACCGGAAGGAUUGACAGAUUGAUAGCUUUUUCAUGAUUCGGUGGAUGGUGGUGCAUGGCCGUUCUUAGUUCGUGGAUCGAUUUGUCUGGUUUAUUCCGAUAACGAGCGAGACUCCAGCCUACUAACUAGUACGGGCAUUGCCUCUGUGCCCGGCACUUCUUAGAGGGAUUGGCUGCGUCUAGCGGCACGAAACGGAGCAAUAACAGGUCUGUGAUGCCCUUAGAUGUCCGGGGCUGCACGCGCGCUACACUGGCAAAGGCAGCGUGCUUGUCCUUCUCCGAAAGGAGCGGGUAAACCCUUGAAAAUUUGCCGUGAUUGGGAUCGGAAAUUGCAAUUAUUUUCCGUGAACGAGGAAUUCCUAGUAAGUGCGAGUCAUCAGCUCGCGUUGAUUACGUCCCUGCCCUUUGUACACACCGCCCGUCGCUGCCUAGAACUGAGCCAUUUCGAGAA
This 519-nucleotide ribosomal RNA is filed under the name uncultured eukaryote. RNAcentral's name for it is "SSU rRNA". It matches the Rfam family "Eukaryotic small subunit ribosomal RNA", at positions 1161 to 1705 of the family's 1831-position model. The record is from RNAcentral.